Molecule: ribosomal RNA, 566 nt
Filed under: Didymella bellidis
Lineage: Eukaryota; Fungi; Ascomycota; Dothideomycetes; Pleosporales; Didymellaceae
Description: eukaryotic LSU rRNA
Rfam family: Eukaryotic large subunit ribosomal RNA
Source: RNAcentral
GCAUAUCAAUAAGCGGAGGAAAAGAAACCAACAGGGAUUGCCCUAGUAACGGCGAGUGAAGCGGCAACAGCUCAAAUUUGAAAUCUGGCGUCUUUGGCGUCCGAGUUGUAAUUUGCAGAGGGCGCUUUGGCAUUGGCAGCGGUCCAAGUUCCUUGGAACAGGACGUCACAGAGGGUGAGAAUCCCGUACGUGGUCGCUAGCCUUUACCGUGUAAAGCCCCUUCGACGAGUCGAGUUGUUUGGGAAUGCAGCUCUAAAUGGGAGGUAAAUUUCUUCUAAAGCUAAAUACUGGCCAGAGACCGAUAGCGCACAAGUAGAGUGAUCGAAAGAUGAAAAGCACUUUGGAAAGAGAGUUAAAAAGCACGUGAAAUUGUUGAAAGGGAAGCGCUUGCAGCCAGACUUGCCUGUAGUUGCUCAUCCAGGUUUCUACCUGGUGCACUCUUCUAUAGGCAGGCCAGCAUCAGUUUGGGCGGUUGGAUAAAGGUCUCUGUCAUGUACCUCUCUUCGGGGAGAACUUAUAGGGGAGACGACAUGCAACCAGCCUGGACUGAGGUCCGCGCAUCUGCU